This is a long non-coding RNA of Mirounga angustirostris (Northern elephant seal), 323 nucleotides long. RefSeq lists it as uncharacterized. The transcript is spliced from 4 exons. Lineage: Eukaryota; Metazoa; Chordata; Mammalia; Carnivora; Phocidae. The record is from RefSeq and is a predicted model, not a curated record.
GAUUGCACUUCCUCUCUUGGGAGACAUCGGUGUCUUGCUUAAGAACUUCUGUGGCAACUGCCAUGCCAGUGUCCCCGGGCUGAAAAGCAACAAAGGAGAAGAAGCUGGUGCUGGUGAGCCUGGAAAGUAUGAUUCUAUAGCCCAGAAGGGUGAUCCAGGCCCACGGGGUCCUCCAGGAAUCCCAGGCAGGGAGGGACCAAAGGGAAACAAAGGAGAGAGGGGCUACCCUGGGAUACCUGGUGAGAAAGGUGAUGAGGUAAGACUUUUCUCUGAUAGUAUAGUCCUGCUAUUGACUCUCUUUGCAGAACUCAGAGGAAGGACUU